Molecule: small RNA, 23 nt
Filed under: Arabidopsis thaliana (thale cress)
Lineage: Eukaryota; Viridiplantae; Streptophyta; Magnoliopsida; Brassicales; Brassicaceae
Description: ATSL076250
Source: RNAcentral
AAAGAAGAAAGAAAAAAAGAGAG